ACACGACUACAUUAGAUACCCCGGUAGUCCCAGCCCUAAACGAUGCGCGUUAGGUGUAUCGGUGACCACGAGUCACCGAGGUGCCGAAGAGAAAUCGUGAAACGCACCACCUGGGAAGUACGGUCGCAAGGCUGAAACUUAAAGGAAUUGGCGGGGGAGCACCACAACAGGUGGAGCCUGCGGUUUAAUUGGAUUCAACGCCGGACAUCUCACCGGAUAAGACAGCUGAAUGAUUGUCAAUCUGAAGGUUUUACAUGACUAGCUG
This 265-nucleotide ribosomal RNA is filed under the name uncultured archaeon. RNAcentral describes it as "partial 16S ribosomal RNA". It matches the Rfam family "Archaeal small subunit ribosomal RNA", at positions 717 to 982 of the family's 1478-position model. The record is from RNAcentral.